GGUGCCGGCCUGGCCUCACAGUGCAGAGUUGGUUUGUUGCGGGGAUCCCUCGGAAUUGUCGUGCCUUCUACUGUGGCACGUUCUGCACGGAAGGUUGUGGUGCUCGGUGAACCCUUCAUGGGCAUAUAUGCAGAGCACGAAGGGGCGUAAGUCCCAUAAUCUGGUAGUGUGUUGUGGGUGGUUCCCAUGGCGGAAGCGAGGGUCUUGAUUGUGGCCUCUCAGUGCAGGUUUGGUUAAAGAUAAGGGCAUGUGACACUGUGUUGCUUGUUGGCUUGUGACUCUUAGAAGUGUGUUGGGGGGUCUGAUCUGGCUCACCCUUCAGAGUUUAGGAAUUCACGCAGUCCCUUAUUCAUGUGUUGCAUCUGGAAUCACUUGCCUCAUCAAGAUUGAUAUCUUGAAUUUUUGGUUUUCCACUUUGCUCUUCGAGGGUUGUGGAUCCGCAACUUGUGUGUGCGAUUAGUCGAAUUGGUGCAAAGUCCACGAUACACACAUAGUCCCUUAUUCAUGUGGUGCGUGGCCUAGCCUAUGGCACACUCACCCAAGCCAUGGCACGUGUGUCCGUCAGGGCAUCAUGGAUUGUGCCGCACGUCGGUUGAAAAUCAUUUGAGGUAAAUGCCUCGACCUUACAUGGACGUAACUCUGGG
RNAcentral lists this small RNA (644 nucleotides) under Lupinus albus (white lupine). Its description in RNAcentral is "hypothetical ncRNA". The record is from RNAcentral. Lineage: Eukaryota; Viridiplantae; Streptophyta; Magnoliopsida; Fabales; Fabaceae.